AGAACCUUCUGAACUGAGGAGAGGGAUUUGGUGGAAAAGCGGUUGGUGCGUUUGGUGGGGAUGGCAGGGCUGUUGCUGCAGCUGAACUCGUAGUCGCUUGGGGAGAUGAAGGUGCUGUGGUGGUGGGAUCGGCAUGUGAAGAAGGAGGUCUGCAUGUUGUAGUAGUGAUGGUUGAGGAUGAGGUUGUUAAGUGCAAGUUUCCCACGUUUGAGCAUGAGAUGGAACUCCACCAUUAUUUUGCUCUUGGCUAUGCCCUUUCUCAGCAUGAAGAACAACACGCGUACCAUGUUCCAUACCUUCUUUGCCACCACCGGCCUGCUUGCCUCAAUUUCCAUCACUGUUUAUUUGUUUUUCUUCUUUUCUUUUUUA
Molecule: long non-coding RNA, 369 nt
Filed under: Glycine max (soybean)
Lineage: Eukaryota; Viridiplantae; Streptophyta; Magnoliopsida; Fabales; Fabaceae
Description: long non-coding RNA (GMAX_LNC001642)
Source: RNAcentral